Non-coding RNA from Lasiosphaeria hispida, 93 nucleotides. NCBI's taxonomy places the organism in Eukaryota, Fungi, Ascomycota, Sordariomycetes, Sordariales, Lasiosphaeriaceae. The record is from the annotation of a GenBank genome assembly.
GGGGGUAUGGUCUAGUGGUAUGACUUCUGUUUUGCAAUACCCUAUGGGUCUCUCACAUACAGACGGUCCCCCGUUCGAUCCGCGGUGCUUCCA